AAAUAACAAAAAUUUCGCUCCCGCUUACGCUAAAGCUGCGUAAGUUUUAUCCUUAAAGGGAGGCUUUGCACUGCGGAUGCUAUCUAUGCGGAUUUAGCAAGGCUCAAAACAAAGAUAGCUCAGGAUGCCUUGUAACCGACGGUUUUCCGAAAUUUAGGUUUGCGCUUUUGUGUAGUUUUCGCGGAUUGAGUGAAACAGAAGCAAAGAUUAAAUCAAUCCUUCUAAGCAUGUAGAGGUUGGGAUGAGGCUUGUUUUUGGACAGGGGUUCAAUUCCCCUCACUUCCACCA
RNAcentral lists this transfer-messenger RNA (288 nucleotides) under Campylobacteraceae bacterium. Its description in RNAcentral is "partial transfer-messenger RNA". It matches the Rfam family "transfer-messenger RNA", at positions 95 to 374 of the family's 374-position model. Rfam says of the family: Bacterial tmRNA, also known as 10Sa RNA or SsrA, is named for its dual tRNA and mRNA-like properties. Its role is to liberate the mRNA from a stalled ribosome. The record is from RNAcentral. Lineage: Bacteria; Pseudomonadati; Campylobacterota; Epsilonproteobacteria; Campylobacterales; Campylobacteraceae.